Molecule: ribosomal RNA, 702 nt
Filed under: Fomitopsis betulina (razor strop fungus)
Lineage: Eukaryota; Fungi; Basidiomycota; Agaricomycetes; Polyporales; Fomitopsidaceae
Description: eukaryotic LSU rRNA
Rfam family: Eukaryotic large subunit ribosomal RNA
Source: RNAcentral
GGAUUCCCCUAGUAACUGCGAGUGAAGCGGGAAAAGCUCAAAUUUAAAAUCUGGCGGUCUUAUGGCCGUCCGAGUUGUAGUCUGGAGAAGUGCUUUCCGCGCUGGACCGUGUACAAGUCUCUUGGAACAGAGCGUCAUAGAGGGUGAGAAUCCCGUCUUUGACACGGACUACCAGUGCUUUGUGAUGCGCUCUCAAAGAGUCGAGUUGUUUGGGAAUGCAGCUCAAAAUGGGUGGUAAAUUCCAUCUAAAGCUAAAUAUUGGCGAGAGACCGAUAGCGAACAAGUACCGUGAGGGAAAGAUGAAAAGCACUUUGGAAAGAGAGUUAAACAGUACGUGAAAUUGCUGAAAGGGAAACGCUUGAAGUCAGUCGCGUUGGCCAGGACUCAGCCUUGCUUUUGCUUGGUGCAUUUUCUGGUUGACGGGCCAGCAUCGAUUUUGACCAUUGGAAAAAGAUUAGGGGAAUGUGGCACCUUCGGGUGUGUUAUAGCCCUUAGUCACAUACAGUGGUUGGGAUCGAGGACCGCAGCACGGCGUUAUGGGCGAAGCCCGGCCGGGCCGAUAUUGGCCCGGCUUCGCCCACGUUCGUGCUUAGGAUGCUGGCGUAAUGGCUUUAAACGACCCGUCUUGAAACACGGACCAAGGAGUCUAACAUGCCUGCGAGUGUUUGGGUGGAAAACCCGAGCGCGUAAUGAAAGUGAAAG